AGGAUGAACGCUAGCUACAGGCUUAACACAUGCAAGUCGAGGGGCAGCAUGGUCUUAGCUUGCUAAGGCCGAUGGCGACCGGCGCACGGGUGAGUAACACGUAUCCAACCUGCCGUCUACUCUUGGACAGCCUUCUGAAAGGAAGAUUAAUACAAGAUGGCAUCAUGAGUCCGCAUGUUCACAUGAUUAAAGGUAUUCCGGUAGACGAUGGGGAUGCGUUCCAUUAGAUAGUAGGCGGGGUAACGGCCCACCUAGUCUUCGAUGGAUAGGGGUUCUGAGAGGAAGGUCCCCCACAUUGGAACUGAGACACGGUCCAAACUCCUACGGGAGGCAGCAGUGAGGAAUAUUGGUCAAUGGGCGAGAGCCUGAACCAGCCAAGUAGCGUGAAGGAUGACUGCCCUAUGGGUUGUAAACUUCUUUUAUAAAGGAAUAAAGUCGGGUAUGCAUACCCGUUUGCAUGUACUUUAUGAAUAAGGAUCGGCUAACUCCGUGCCAGCAGCCGCGGUAAUACGGAGGAUCCGAGCGUUAUCCGGAUUUAUUGGGUUUAAAGGGAGCGUAGAUGGAUGUUUAAGUCAGUUGUGAAAGUUUGCGGCUCAACCGUAAAAUUGCAGUUGAUACUGGAUAUCUUGAGUGCAGUUGAGGCAGGCGGAAUUCGUGGUGUAGCGGUGAAAUGCUUAGAUAUCACGAAGAACUCCGAUUGCGAAGGCAGCCUGCUAAGCUGCAACUGACAUUGAGGCUCGAAAGUGUGGGUAUCAAACAGGAUUAGAUACCCUGGUAGUCCACACGGUAAACGAUGAAUACUCGCUGUUUGCGAUAUACAGCAAGCGGCCAAGCGAAAGCGUUAAGUAUUCCACCUGGGGAGUACGCCGGCAACGGUGAAACUCAAAGGAAUUGACGGGGGCCCGCACAAGCGGAGGAACAUGUGGUUUAAUUCGAUGAUACGCGAGGAACCUUACCCGGGCUUAAAUUGCAGAUGAAUUACGGUGAAAGCCGUAAGCCGCAAGGCAUCUGUGAAGGUGCUGCAUGGUUGUCGUCAGCUCGUGCCGUGAGGUGUCGGCUUAAGUGCCAUAACGAGCGCAACCCUUGUUGUCAGUUACUAACAGGUUCCGCUGAGGACUCUGACAAGACUGCCAUCGUAAGAUGUGAGGAAGGUGGGGAUGACGUCAAAUCAGCACGGCCCUUACGUCCGGGGCUACACACGUGUUACAAUGGGGGGUACAGAGGGCCGCUACCACGCGAGUGGAUGCCAAUCCCAAAAACCUCUCUCAGUUCGGACUGGAGUCUGCAACCCGACUCCACGAAGCUGGAUUCGCUAGUAAUCGCGCAUCAGCCACGGCGCGGUGAAUACGUUCCCGGGCCUUGUACACACCGCCCGUCAAGCCAUGGGAGCCGGGGGUACCUGAAGUGCGUAACCGCGAGGAG
RNAcentral lists this ribosomal RNA (1422 nucleotides) under uncultured organism. RNAcentral describes it as "16S ribosomal RNA". It matches the Rfam family "Bacterial small subunit ribosomal RNA". The record is from RNAcentral.